RNAcentral lists this ribosomal RNA (465 nucleotides) under Vreelandella stevensii. RNAcentral describes it as "partial 16S ribosomal RNA". It matches the Rfam family "Bacterial small subunit ribosomal RNA", at positions 338 to 795 of the family's 1533-position model. The record is from RNAcentral. Lineage: Bacteria; Pseudomonadati; Pseudomonadota; Gammaproteobacteria; Oceanospirillales; Halomonadaceae.
CCUACGGGAGGCAGCAGUGGGGAAUAUUGGACAAUGGGCGAAAGCCUGAUCCAGCCAUGCCGCGUGUGUGAAGAAGGCCUUCGGGUUGUAAAGCACUUUCAGUGGGGAAGAAAGCCUUGGGGCUAAUACCCUCGAGGAAGGACAUCACCCACAGAAGAAGCACCGGCUAACUCCGUGCCAGCAGCCGCGGUAAUACGGAGGAUGCGAGCGUUAAUCGGAAUUACUGGGCGUAAAGCGCGCGUAGGCGGUCUGAUAAGCCGGUUGUGAAAGCCCCGGGCUCAACCUGGGAACGGCAUCCGGAACUGUCAGGCUAGAGUGCAGGAGAGGAAGGUAGAAUUCCCGGUGUAGCGGUGAAAUGCGUAGAGAUCGGGAGGAAUACCAGUGGCGAAGGCGGCCUUCUGGACUGACACUGACGCUGAGGUGCGAAAGCGUGGGUAGCAAACAGGAUUAGAUACCCGAGUAGUC